This 248-nucleotide ribosomal RNA is filed under the name uncultured bacterium. RNAcentral describes it as "partial 16S ribosomal RNA". It matches the Rfam family "Bacterial small subunit ribosomal RNA", at positions 15 to 257 of the family's 1533-position model. The record is from RNAcentral.
GAUCCUGGCUCAGGACGAACGCUGGCGGCGCGCCUAACACAUGCAAGUCGAACGAGAGAGAGGAAGCUUGCUUCCUCAAUCGAGUGGCGAACGGGUGAGUAACGCGUGAGGAACCUGCCUCAAAGAGGGGGACAACAGUUGGAAACGACUGGCUAAUACCGCAUAAGCCCACGGGUCGGCAUCGACCAGAGGGAAAAGGAGCAAUCCGCUUUGAGAUGGCCUCGCGUCCGAUUAGCUGGUUGGUGAGG